GGCCAGGUAGCUCAGUUGGUAGAGCAGCGGACUGAAAAUCCGCGUGUCGGCGGUUCGACCCCGUCCCUGGCCACCA
Molecule: transfer RNA, 76 nt
Filed under: Acidobacteriota bacterium
Lineage: Bacteria; Pseudomonadati; Acidobacteriota
Also listed under: 2 other names
Description: tRNA-Phe
Rfam family: tRNA
About the family: Transfer RNA (tRNA) molecules are approximately 80 nucleotides in length. Their secondary structure includes four short double-helical elements and three loops (D, anti-codon, and T loops). Further hydrogen bonds mediate the characteristic L-shaped molecular structure. tRNAs have two regions of fundamental functional importance: the anti-codon, which is responsible for specific mRNA codon recognition, and the 3' end, to which the tRNAs corresponding amino acid is attached (by aminoacyl-tRNA synthetases). tRNAs cope with the degeneracy of the genetic code in two manners: having more than one tRNA (with a specific anti-codon) for a particular amino acid; and 'wobble' base-pairing, i.e. permitting non-standard base-pairing at the 3rd anti-codon position.
Source: RNAcentral